This is a long non-coding RNA of Passer montanus (Eurasian tree sparrow), 339 nucleotides long. RefSeq lists it as uncharacterized. The transcript has 3 exons. The record is from RefSeq and is a predicted model, not a curated record. NCBI's taxonomy places the organism in Eukaryota, Metazoa, Chordata, Aves, Passeriformes, Passeridae.
UUCUGAAGCGGUUUGGUCUUUCUCUGUGUGGGUUGAAGCUUUCUGGAAUUGCAUGGUGACACUCUGUGUAUUGUGGCUGUGACAGAACAGAGCAACGUUGGCUGGAGUGCCAAGGGCGAUGAGGAGACAGAAGGAAGAAAUCACCACUAUAAGGCCAGAGGGAAGGAUGUUGAUGAGCAGCACUUGGAGCCUCUGCAAGAGAUCAAGGGAGAAGGCCCUACAGCUAGGAGAUAGACAAAAAGACUGUUUCUUUGCUUGGGGAUGUAUCAAAACCAAGGCAGGAGGAGCUACUGGUACCUGACUGUCACAGAACCAGAGAUGUGCCAAGGCUGAUGCUGA